RNAcentral lists this ribosomal RNA (585 nucleotides) under Triticum aestivum (bread wheat). RNAcentral describes it as "partial small subunit ribosomal RNA". Lineage: Eukaryota; Viridiplantae; Streptophyta; Magnoliopsida; Poales; Poaceae. The record is from RNAcentral.
AUGAAGUGGCAGCCGUUCAUGUCCAUGUUCGUACUGAACAAGAUGUGUGAGCUCAUCUCUAGUGGAGUUAGGACUGAUAAGGGCUUCAAGGAGGUGCACUUGAACACCGUUGCGAAGCAGGUGUUCGAGUUCUGUGGGCAAGAGGUGUCUGCCAUGCAACACGUCUUCUCCUUCGGGCUGGCAACUGGAAAGCAUGCCAUGGGCUUGGGUGAGCCUCUUGGUUCUCCCAUGCCAGACUUCCCUGGGACACCGGACGUCGAGGUCCUUGAUGGCCCUGACAAGCCCGCUGCGAAGCCCUUCGACAAGCCAUUUGACCCCAACCAUGAUAGGAUGAGGAAGAGAGGAGGCCUGAUGGAGGAGGAGAUCAAUGUCUUUUGCAGCAUGACUGAGGCGGUGAAGGAGGUGGCAACAGCCAUCAGGGAGUGCAAGCCCCUUGACGUCCACCCUGACCUGUAUGGCACUGUCAUGACCCAGGGUGGAUUCAGCGACGAGGCUCUCAUGGCAGCUCUCAGCCACCUGCUUGACAACAAGGCCCAGGGUGUUGGGUUCGUUGCCAUGGCUGACGCUCACAGGGGCAAGUGGUAA